This 282-nucleotide long non-coding RNA is filed under the name Helianthus annuus (common sunflower). RNAcentral describes it as "sRNA HanXRQr2_Chr16g0772501". Lineage: Eukaryota; Viridiplantae; Streptophyta; Magnoliopsida; Asterales; Asteraceae. The record is from RNAcentral.
GUGUGUGUGUGGGUCGAUGUUCGACCAGGAGAGAAGGGAAAAGGGGUAAAACCCUAGAUCACCAAAAUCCAUCAAAUUGAAGGAGGAUUGAAGGGCUAAUCGAGUGCAUGAACCAGGAAUGUCGAUCAUUUAAGUGUUUCUACCAUCAUGAACGUGUCAAGGAGAGCUCAAGCAUAGGAGGAUAACGGGUCAAGAUAAGGCAAGGUGACAAAUACACUUAUUGGAGUACUCAAGGUUAUGAAUGUCGGACUUUCGAAGUGUUGAUAUAAUAAUGAAACGGUU